GAUGAACGCUGGCGGCGUGCCUAAUACAUGCAAGUCGAGCGAACGGACGAGAAGCUUGCUUCUCUGAUGUUAGCGGCGGACGGGUGAGUAACACGUGGAUAACCUACCUAUAAGACUGGGAUAACUUCGGGAAACCGGAGCUAAUACCGGAUAAUAUUUUGAACCGCAUGGUUCAAAAGUGAAAGACGGUCUUGCUGUCACUUAUAGAUGGAUCCGCGCUGCAUUAGCUAGUUGGUAAGGUAACGGCCUACCAAGGCAACGAUGCAUAGCCGACCUGAGAGGGUGAUCGGCCACACGAGAACUGAGACACGGUCCUGACUCCUACGGGAGGCAGCAGUAGGGAAUCGUCCGCAGUGGGCGAAAGCCUGACGGAGCAACGCCGCGUGAGUGAUGAAGGUCUUCGGAUCGUAAAACUCUGUUAUUAGGGAAGAACAUAUGUGUAAGUAACUGUGCACAUCGUGACGGUACCUAAUCAGAAGGCCACGGCUAACUACGUG
Molecule: ribosomal RNA, 497 nt
Filed under: uncultured bacterium
Lineage: Bacteria
Description: partial 16S ribosomal RNA
Rfam family: Bacterial small subunit ribosomal RNA
Source: RNAcentral